UUUACUUUUUUAAUAUAAUCGAUUGUGUUUGUAUCGGUGUUAGAUUCGUACAUAUGUCUAGGAGUCUUUUUUUGUUUAAUUCUGUAAAUUUUCUCUUUAGACGCCUAUUAUAAGUAGCUUAGCUUGAUUUCCCGGUGACUUUCUAUUAUUGGAAAUUUUAUUAUCCUUUCCUUUAUUGUUUUCAUUGCAUGUGUUAUGAAUAUAUGAGGAGAUCGAAAUUAAAGUAGGGAUUGAUUAGAGUUGUGAAGUUAUAACUGAAACUUUAAGCUAGAUUAUUGGCUCGUUUGAAAUGUAAUCUGAUUUUAAACAUUUUGUGAAUCAAUAGAAGUUAUUGGCAAUCUACGUCGGGCCAUUCAAACACGACCUUCAGCUUUUUGUAGCGUGUGAUUUUAAGAGGUGCAAUGUAAAAGAUUUACAACUUUUGAUUGAGGAUUGAUUAGUAGAAGUUACCUGUAAAAUUGUUGUUUUCUUGUGUAAUUACUAAGUAUUUGCUUUGUUUAAAUAGAAAUGGAACAGAAGAUUUUCUUUAAACUUUCAUUUCACUCGAGUGUGGAAAGGAUAGCUAGGGGUUCUUAUGUCUCAUCUUCAAAUACCGAUAAACUUCCCAUUGAAUGAGUUUAAUUUGAUGUCACAUACUACUACUGGAACGUCGUGUAGUUACAAAAAAAAUUAUUUUCAGAUUAAGCUUCAGGUUUUGUUUGCUUUGAUUGAAGGCAAACUUGGCAGUGUUUUCUGCCUUAAUGAAUGAUUAUUGGUUUUUGGUCAAUCAGGUUUGGUCUUUGGUGAGGAGAUUUGAUCAACCGCAGAAGUACAAACCAUUUGUUAGCAGGUGUGUUGUGCAGGGUGACCUUCAGAUUGGAAGCGUUAGAGAAGUUAAUGUUAAGUCAGGUCUGCCAGCCACAACUAGCACUGAAAGGUUAGAGUAUCUAGACGAUGAUGAGCAUAUUUUGAGCAUGACGAUUGUUGGAGGAGAUCACAGGUUGAAGAACUACUCGUCCAUUGUUACAGUCCAUCCUGAGGUCACUGAUGGCAGACCAGGAACAUUGGUGAUUGAAUCAUUUGUGGUGGAUGUACCAGAUGGGAACACCAAGGAUGAAACAUGCUACUUUGUUGAGGCACUGAUCAAGUGCAACCUCAAGUCAUUGGCUGAUGUUUCAGAACGUUUGGCUGUUCAGGAUCGGACCAAGCCAAUUGAAAGAAUGUGAAUAAUCUGGGUCCCUGUUAUCAGCAUUAAAGUUCUUGUUUUGGGUGAUAAGUGGGAUACUCUUGUUAUUGGAAGAUGAGUAUACAGUUUAGGCUUCCUGCAGGCAGAGUCAACUUCUCUUUCCUUAUACUUUAUGCUUCUUCUUUUUACUAGAACAUGAUAUUUAGGUGUCUUGUGUUGAUAGUAGCUGACAAUUAAUCUCAUCUGCGGCAUACAGAUUUCCCAUAUGAAGAAACAAAUAAAAAAUUUCUCUGUGGUUUUUUCUAUGUUGAACAUGGGGUGUUGUAUUGGUAUUUGGUUGUAAAUAUCUGUGCACGAUAGAAAUUUUAUGUUCAUAUCUUUAGUUUUGCAUGUUCCAGUUGCAGAAAAGCCAUUCACUGUUUGGUGGAUAUAUGGUAUUGGUAUGUUAUGUUGUUUCAUGAUGUGAAUUUACUCAUCUAGGAAGGUAUUUGUACUAAUUGGAAGAGUGGUCAGCGCUUCCCAAUUGCCAAAACUCCAGAUUUGGAUCCUCCUCUGUCUAAUUGGAUUUCAAGCUUUUUGGAGUGUCGCAUUCAGUUCUAGAGGCAGGUUCUGCCCAAUGUUGCGGUUGCCCAUUAAAUGCAAGGAACGCUCCUGUUAUCCAAUAAAUGAUGUAUGGCCUGUAUUUCAUGAGAAUUAAACCAGCCUCUCCGAUUACUCUGUUCCUGUAAAAAAAAAAAACGAGAAAAUUUGCAGCAACUGUUAGAUUUUUUUGGUGUUCAAAUCUUUUUUUUUCCAGGUCAGAUUUAUUCUAAUUAGGUGGUGCUAAAGAAUGAUCCAAUUUUCAUGAUUCAAGAAAGAGGGUGCGUCAAAGUAUUCAAUUCAAUAAUUAAUGCAUGCUAUAUUUUUUUGGGUUGGUUACGAGAAAAAAAGGAGGCCACGUAAACACCAGCACCAUUAUAUCCCUAGAAAGGAGGUGUGAUUUCAAUAAUUUAGAAGGCGAAAAUAGCAGUGUACCGUUUGGACUAUCAUCAAAAGGCAAAAAAGAAAAGACAAGCUAUGAGAACAAUGUCGAACCACAUAUAAUAAACCAUUUUAGAGGCAGUGGAGAAUCU
Durio zibethinus is the source of this 2277-nucleotide non-coding RNA. The record is from RefSeq and is a predicted model, not a curated record. NCBI's taxonomy places the organism in Eukaryota, Viridiplantae, Streptophyta, Magnoliopsida, Malvales, Malvaceae.